GCCUCCGUAGCUCAGUGGAUGAGAGCAGUGGGUUUCUACCCCAUUGGUCGCGGGUUCGAAUCCUGCCGGGGGCGC
Molecule: transfer RNA, 75 nt
Filed under: Corynebacterium urogenitale
Lineage: Bacteria; Bacillati; Actinomycetota; Actinomycetes; Mycobacteriales; Corynebacteriaceae
Description: Corynebacterium sp. LMM-1652 tRNA-Arg
Rfam family: tRNA
About the family: Transfer RNA (tRNA) molecules are approximately 80 nucleotides in length. Their secondary structure includes four short double-helical elements and three loops (D, anti-codon, and T loops).
Source: RNAcentral